RNAcentral lists this ribosomal RNA (253 nucleotides) under uncultured bacterium. RNAcentral describes it as "partial 16S ribosomal RNA". It matches the Rfam family "Bacterial small subunit ribosomal RNA", at positions 524 to 776 of the family's 1533-position model. The record is from RNAcentral.
UACGGAGGGGGCAAGCGUUGUUCGGAAUUAUUGGGCGUAAAGCGUAUGUAGGCGGCUAGAUAAGUCAGACGUGCAAGCCCGUGGCUCAACCACGGAAUUGCGUUUGAAACUGUUUAGCUUGAGUACAGGAGAGGAAAGCGGAAUUCCCAGUGUAGCGGUGAAAUGCAUUGAUAUUGGGAAGAACAUCUGUGGCGAAGGCGGCUUUCUGGUCUGUUACUGACGCUGAGAUACGAAAGCCAGGGUAGCGAACGGG